UAGGGAGACCUAAUCCAUUUAGAAAUCGAAAACAAUGAAAAUUGUCAAUAGAAACUAAAUCGGUCUAACCUAGGUCGUUCGAGAUUGGUAGACAUCUUUCAAAGUAUUAUUCGGCUUCGUUCAAAACCAUAUAUAAUAAAUGGAAAAAGACAGCACCUAAUUGUCAAAGUUAGACUGCUGGAUGAAAUUCCAGCCAGAACCUUGAAAACUGCAUAAGAGAACGAGAAAAAGCAGGCAGACACAGACAUUUAGAUGGAUGUGAAAGCAAAAGAAAUUGU
This 278-nucleotide unclassified non-coding RNA is filed under the name uncultured Anabaena sp. RNAcentral describes it as "partial 16S-23S ribosomal RNA intergenic spacer". Lineage: Bacteria; Bacillati; Cyanobacteriota; Cyanophyceae; Nostocales; Nostocaceae. The record is from RNAcentral.